This 507-nucleotide unclassified non-coding RNA is filed under the name Hevea brasiliensis (rubber tree). The record is from RNAcentral. Lineage: Eukaryota; Viridiplantae; Streptophyta; Magnoliopsida; Malpighiales; Euphorbiaceae.
UUUUUAGAAAUGCAUUUGUCAUUGCAUAAAAGUCCAGUGGAGAAUACAAAUAUAAGACUUGAAGCCUGCUUUUACAAUAAAAGACCCAAUCCAAAGUGCAAGGCUAAAAGCCCAAGACCAUUCCCCACCAAAUCCCUAGCUCUACAUUCAAGCAAAAAGUCAAGAAGCAUACUUAAUGCCUCCUCAUCGAGAACCUAGUAGAACCAAAGCCACCCAUCAGAGACUAGAAAGGAGUUGUUGCUAACCCAUGCAAGGCUUGAAAAUAAAGCAGGCCAAGAAGAAAUCCCAAACAAACUAACAAAAACCGUCAUCUCCACAAGGAGCCACUGAAAUUCUAUCAUCUUUGACUUGGAGAAGUGGAAGCCAUCUAGCCAUCAAGCACUGGCAAGCUACUUUUUGGGACAUCAUCUCUUAAUCCUCAAUGUCGUCUUCCUUGAAUCUACCCCAAGCUGAGAACCUACACCAAAGCCAUCACACCACAAUAAACACAGAUCAAAGAAACAAAAG